RNAcentral lists this ribosomal RNA (453 nucleotides) under uncultured Porphyromonadaceae bacterium. RNAcentral's name for it is "partial 16S ribosomal RNA". It matches the Rfam family "Bacterial small subunit ribosomal RNA", at positions 341 to 792 of the family's 1533-position model. Lineage: Bacteria; Pseudomonadati; Bacteroidota; Bacteroidia; Bacteroidales; Porphyromonadaceae. The record is from RNAcentral.
ACGGAAGGCAGCAGUGAGGAAUAUUGGUCAAUGGACGGAAGCCUGAACCAGCCAAGUCGCGUGAAGGAUGAAGGUAUUAUGUAUUGUAAACUUCUUUAGCAGUGGAGUAAUAAGGGGAUCGUGAUCCCUGAUGCAAGUACACUGAGAAUAAGGAUCGGCUAACUCCGUGCCAGCAGCCGCGGUAAUACGGAGGAUCCGAGCGUUAUCCGGAUUUAUUGGGUUUAAAGGGUGCGCAGGCGGCUUUUUAAGUCAGUGGUUAAAUCGUGACGCUCAACGUCAUCACGCCAUUGAUACUGGAGAGCUUGAUUGCGGUCGAGGUUUGCGGAAUUCGUUGUGUAGCGGUGAAAUGCAUAGACAUGACGAAGAACACCGAUUGCGUAGGCAGCAGACCAGGCCGUAAAUGACGCUCAUGCACGAAAGUGCGGGGAUCGAACAGGAUUAGAUACCCUGGUA